GUGGGGAAUAUUGGACAAUGGGCGCAAGCCUGAUCCAGCAAUGCCGCGUGGGUGAAGACGGCCUGCGGGUUGUAAAGCCCUUUAGGCGGGGAGGAACGACGGGACGCGAAUACCGUUUCGAAGUGACGUUACCCGCAGAAUAAGCACCGGCUAACUCCGUGCCAGCAGCCGCGGUAAUACGGAGGGUGCGAGCGUUAAUCGGAAUUACUGGGCGUAAAGCGUGCGUAGGCGGUGGGGUCAGUCAGCCGUGAAAGCCCUGGGCUUAACCUGGGAACGGCGGUUGAGACGGCCCGACUUGAGUGGGCUAGAGGAUCGUGGAAUUCCGGGUGUAGCGGUGAAAUGCGUAGAGAUCCGGAGGAACACCGAUGGCGAAGGCAGCGGUCUGGGGCCACACUGACGCUGAGGCACGACGGCGUGGGGAGCAAACAGGAUUAGAAACCCGAGUAGUCC
RNAcentral lists this ribosomal RNA (450 nucleotides) under uncultured bacterium. Its description in RNAcentral is "bacterial SSU rRNA". It matches the Rfam family "Bacterial small subunit ribosomal RNA", at positions 354 to 796 of the family's 1533-position model. The record is from RNAcentral.